CCUAGUGGCGGACGGGUGAGGAAUACGUAGGGAUCUGCCUGUUAGAGGGGGAUAAGCCGGGGAAACUCGGUCUAAUACCGCAUACGCUCUACGGAGGAAAGUAUGGGAUUUAAUUACCAUACGCUAACAGAUGAACCUACGUCGGAUUAGCUAGUUGGUGAGGUAAUGGCUCACCAAGGCGACGAUCCGUAACUGGUCUGAGAGGAUGAUCAGUCACACCGGAACUGAGACACGGUCCGGACUCCUACGGGAGGCAGCAGUGGGGAAUAUUGGACAAUGGGCGAAAGCCUGAUCCAGCAAUACCGCGUGUGUGAAGAAGGCCUUCGGGUUGUAAAGCACUUUAAGUUGGGAAGAAAAAGCUUCACCUAAUACGUGAAGCCUUGACGGUACCGACAGAAUAAGCACCGGCUAACUCUGUG
This 419-nucleotide ribosomal RNA is filed under the name uncultured bacterium. RNAcentral describes it as "bacterial SSU rRNA". It matches the Rfam family "Bacterial small subunit ribosomal RNA", at positions 91 to 507 of the family's 1533-position model. The record is from RNAcentral.